This 623-nucleotide ribosomal RNA is filed under the name uncultured bacterium. Its description in RNAcentral is "bacterial SSU rRNA". It matches the Rfam family "Bacterial small subunit ribosomal RNA", at positions 338 to 951 of the family's 1533-position model. The record is from RNAcentral.
CCUACGGGAGGCAGCAGUAGGGAAUCUUCCGCAAUGGACGAAAGUCUGACGGAGCAACGCCGCGUGAACGAUGAAGGCCUUCGGGUCGUAAAGUUCUGUUGUUAGGGAAGAACAAGUGCUAGUUAAAUAAGCUGGCACCUUGACGGUACCUAACCAGAAAGCCACGGCUAACUACGUGCCAGCAGCCGCGGUAAUACGUAGGUGGCAAGCGUUGUCCGGAAUUAUUGGGCGUAAAGCGCGCGCAGGCGGUUUCUUAAGUCUGAUGUGAAAGCCCCCGGCUCAACCGGGGAGGGUCAUUGGAAACUGGGAAACUUGAGUGCAGAAGAGGAAAGUGGAAUUCCAAGUGUAGCGGUGAAAUGCGUAGAGAUUUGGAGGAACACCAGUGGCGAAGGCGACUUUCUGGUCUGUAACUGACGCUGAGGCGCGAAAGCGUGGGGAGCAAACAGGAUUAGAUACCCUGGUAGUCCACGCUGUAAACGAUGAGUGCUAAGUGUUAGAGGGUUUCCGCCCUUUAGUGCUGAAGUUAACGCAUUAAGCACUCCGCCUGGGGAGUACGGUCGCAAGACUGAAACUCAAAUGAAUUGACGGCUGAGACCGNGCGACGACGACGACGAGGGAGGAGG